GACGUAGGGCGCGAGCGUUGUCCGGAUUUAUUGGGCGUAAAGAGCUUGUAGGCGGUUUGUCGCGUCUGCUGUGAAAAUCCGGGGCUCAACCCCGGACUUGCAGUGGGUACGGGCAGACUAGAGUGUGGUAGGGGAGACUGGAAUUCCUGGUGUAGCGGUGAAAUGCGCAGAUAUCAGGAGGAACACCGAUGGUGAAGGCAGGUCUCUGGGCCGAUACUGACGCUGAGGAGCGAAAGCAUGGGUAGCGAACAGG
RNAcentral lists this ribosomal RNA (253 nucleotides) under uncultured bacterium. RNAcentral's name for it is "partial 16S ribosomal RNA". It matches the Rfam family "Bacterial small subunit ribosomal RNA", at positions 524 to 776 of the family's 1533-position model. The record is from RNAcentral.